Xylariales sp. PMI_506 is the source of this 71-nucleotide non-coding RNA. The record is from the annotation of a GenBank genome assembly. Lineage: Eukaryota; Fungi; Ascomycota; Sordariomycetes; Xylariales.
GCACAGCUGGUGUAACGGUAACAUCUGGGUUUCCCAUGCUCAGGCCGGGGGUUCGACUCCCUCGCUGUGCA